This 484-nucleotide ribosomal RNA is filed under the name uncultured bacterium. Its description in RNAcentral is "partial 16S ribosomal RNA". It matches the Rfam family "Bacterial small subunit ribosomal RNA", at positions 30 to 507 of the family's 1533-position model. The record is from RNAcentral.
AUUGAACGCUGGCGGCAUGCUUUACACAUGCAAGUCGAACGGCAGCACGGGCUUCGGCCUGGUGGCGAGUGGCGAACGGGUGAGUAAUAUAUCCGUACGUACCCAGAAGUGGGGGAUAACGUAGCGAAAGUUACGCUAAUACCGCAUACGAUCUAUGGAUGAAAGCAUUGGUCCCCAAGGCCUUGUGCUCCUGGAGCGUCCGAUAUCUGAUUAGCUAGUUGGUGAGGUAAAGGCUCACCAAGGCGACGAUCAGUAGCUGGUCUGAGAGGACGACCAGCCACACUGGAACUGAGACACGGUCCAGACUCCUACGGGAGGCAGCAGUAGGGAAUUUUGGACAAUGGGCGCAAGCCUGAUCCAGCAAUGCCGCGUGAGUGAAGAAGGCCUUCGGGUUGUAAAGCUCUUUUGUAAGGGAAGAAAAGGUAGAGGCUAAUAUCCUUAGCUAAUGACGGUACCUGAAGAAUAAGCACCGGCUAACUACGUG